RNAcentral lists this ribosomal RNA (1426 nucleotides) under Myxobolus sp. RNAcentral's name for it is "SSU rRNA". It matches the Rfam family "Eukaryotic small subunit ribosomal RNA", at positions 1 to 1308 of the family's 1831-position model. The record is from RNAcentral. Lineage: Eukaryota; Metazoa; Cnidaria; Myxozoa; Bivalvulida; Myxobolidae.
UCUUGGUUUGAUCUGCCAGUGUGCAUACGCUCUUUUUAAAGAUUAAGCCAUGCACCGUGAUAGUUCAUACAUUUAAAAUGUGAGACUGCGGAAGGCUCAGUAAAUCAGUUAUAAUCUGCUCGAUUGUAUAGGUUAUUGGAUAACCGUGGGAAAUCUAGAGCUAAUACAUGUAAAUAGGGGGAUAAUUUCGGUUAUUCUCUGGCAUUUAUUAGACAAUUACCAAUCGUGGGGCAACCCAUGUGGUGAAUCUAGAUAACUUGGCAGAUCGUAUGGCCUAGUGCCGGCGACAUUUCGAUUGAGUUUCUGCCCUAUCAACUAUUGUCGGUAGUGUAUUGGACUACCGAGGUUUUUACGGGUGACGGGGGAUCAGGGUUCGAUUCCGGAGAGGGAGCCUGAGAAACGGCUACCACAUCCAAGGAAGGCAGCAGGCGCGCAAAUUACCCAAUCCAGACAAUGGGAGGUGGUGACGAAAAGUACCAGAUGACGGCCAAAGGCUGUCAAUUUGGAAUGGAAUCAAUUUAAGCAAUUGAUUGAGGAACGACUAGAGGGCAAGUCUGGUGCCAGCAGCCGCGGUAAUUCCAGCUCUAGUAGCGUAUCCCAAAGUUGCUGCGCUUAAAACGCUCGUAGUUGGAUCACAAACUAUAUGCGAGUUGGCGUGGUGCUGUGCCAAAUGUAAGGAUUCAACGGAAUGUCCUCAUUUCGCGGAUGAUUUAUGUGGUGCAGUUUCAUUGCCGUAAGCUGGUGUGUAGUAAUUGCACGUGAGGAUAGACAUUCGCCUUGAAUGAGUAGAUGUUUGUGUCUCACGGAGUGUGCCUUGAAUAAAUCAAAGUGCUUAAAGCAGGCUAUACGCUUGAAUGUUAAAGCAUGGAACGAACAAUCGUGUAGGGUGCAUGAUGAUUUAUGGGUGACUGGCCCAGCCAGCAUUCAUCAUUGUGUGACACCGACCACCAGUAACGGAUGUUGGUUCCGUAUUGGGGUAUUGAUUAAGAGGAGCGGUUGGGGGCAUUGGUAUUUGGCAGCGAGAGGUGAAAUUCUUGGACCUGCCAAGGACUAACAAAUGCGAAGGCAUCUGUCCAGACCGUAUCCAUUAAUCAAGAACGAUAGUGAGAGGUUCGAAGACGAUCAGAUACCGUCCUAGUUCUCACUGUAAACCAUGCCGACCCGGGAUCAGUUUGGAGCUUUAUUCCAUGCUCGGAGUUGGUCCCCCUGGGAAACCUAAAGUUUUUCGGUUGCGGGGGGAGUAUGGUCGCAAGGCUGAAACUUAAAGGAAUUGACGGAAGGGCACCACCAGGGGUGGAGCCUGCGGCUUAAUUUGACUCAACACGGGAAAACUUACCUGGUCCGAACAUCCGUAGGAUACACAGACUAAUAGAUCUUUGUUGAUGGGGUGAAAAGUGGUGCAUGGCCGUUCUUAGUUCGUGGAGUG